UUCUUUUUUCUUCUUUUUUU
This 20-nucleotide small RNA is filed under the name Arabidopsis thaliana (thale cress). RNAcentral describes it as "ATSL223400". Lineage: Eukaryota; Viridiplantae; Streptophyta; Magnoliopsida; Brassicales; Brassicaceae. The record is from RNAcentral.